CUCUGCCUGGCUGCCCAGUCUGGAAAGUGAGGAGCGUCUCCGCCCGGCCGCCAUCCCAUCUAGGAAGUGAGGAGCACCUCUUCCCAGCCGCCAUCACAUCUAGGAAGUGAGGAGCGUCUCUGCCCGGCCGCCCAUAGUCUGAGAUGUGGGGAGCGCCUCUGCCCCGCCGCCCCAUCUGGGAUGUGAGGAGCGUCUCUGCCCGGCCGCCC
RNAcentral lists this long non-coding RNA (209 nucleotides) under Homo sapiens (human). RNAcentral describes it as "HSALNT0397927". The record is from RNAcentral. Lineage: Eukaryota; Metazoa; Chordata; Mammalia; Primates; Hominidae.